Molecule: long non-coding RNA, 268 nt
Organism: Triticum dicoccoides
Lineage: Eukaryota; Viridiplantae; Streptophyta; Magnoliopsida; Poales; Poaceae
Exons: 3
Source: RefSeq, a predicted model, not a curated record
CUGACCGGCCGGAGUUGGAUCGAGAUCCCAACUAGCACGGCUUAGCUCCAACUCCCUCUUCCACCUCUCCGCUCCCCAACACUCAAAUCUGGCUCUUCUGCACACAUCAGUAGCUAUGGAAAGAAAGUUUGUAGUGGAGUGGGUUCCUUUGUAUGAUCUUGGAAGAUGAUGACCUCUGAAGCCCAUUAGAAAGCAUGGCAAUGGCUUAAGGUUAGCGCAUUUCAAGAAGCCAACAGAUCGCUGCCUACUUCCUUAGGCUGACAAUCAC